UACGUAGGGGGCAAGCGUUGUCCGGAUUUAUUGGGCGUAAAGAGCGUGUAGGCGGCUAUGCAAGUCCGCUGUGAAAUCUCGAGGCUCAACCUCGAGACGCCGGUGGAAACUGCAAAGCUAGAGUCCGGAAGAGGAGAGUGGAAUUCCUGGUGUAGCGGUGAAAUGCGCAGAUAUCAGGAAGAACACCCGUGGCGAAGGCGGCUCUCUGGGACGGUACUGACGCUGAGACGCGAAAGCGUGGGGAGCGAACAGG
RNAcentral lists this ribosomal RNA (253 nucleotides) under uncultured bacterium. RNAcentral's name for it is "partial 16S ribosomal RNA". It matches the Rfam family "Bacterial small subunit ribosomal RNA", at positions 524 to 776 of the family's 1533-position model. The record is from RNAcentral.